RNAcentral lists this non-coding RNA (86 nucleotides) under Chitinophaga sp. CF118. The record is from RNAcentral. Lineage: Bacteria; Pseudomonadati; Bacteroidota; Chitinophagia; Chitinophagales; Chitinophagaceae.
CAAUAGUCAGAAUAAUAAUGACUAACUGGUACAGACAGAAGUCAGCAGAAGCCGUAGUACUGUGAGUUUUUUUUUACAGGAAGGGC